This is a long non-coding RNA of Stegostoma tigrinum, 5911 nucleotides long. RefSeq lists it as uncharacterized. The record is from RefSeq and is a predicted model, not a curated record. The transcript has 4 exons. NCBI's taxonomy places the organism in Eukaryota, Metazoa, Chordata, Chondrichthyes, Orectolobiformes, Stegostomatidae.
UUGUGCAAUUGAUGUAAGAGCAGGACACGGUGAAGAAGGCAAAACGGCAGAAAGCAGAUACCAGCGAUCGUUGCCAAAGCCCUGUUGCCUGUGGAAAAUGUGAUGUUCAACUUUCAUGUGCUGCUGCAGUUCAUAUGAUGAAGGUACUCCCACAAUGCGGUCAUUUGAGAAGUCACAGAUCAUUCAUCUAGCGAUACUGAAGAGCUGAUGGUGAUAUUACAAGUGGACUUUCAGGUGGGGAAACUCAAUAAUUGUAACACCAAACUCUGACAGAAUUACUCAAUUCAUCAACAUCUGGAUAUUCGUAUUGUAUUUCCACAAUUUUACUUCUGCACUGUUCUUAACCUUUUGAUCCCUCUGAAAGACUGAGUUACAAUGCCUGCCCUUGCUCCCUGGCUCUCCCACCUCUCUUUCAGCAGUUGUGUGCAAAUACUGACUGGAUCCCUUACCUGGAGGAUAUUUAUUUGAAUUUGUUCUAAUGAUGAUCCAGCAUAUUUCCCAAGUGUCGCUCCAUAAAUGUCCAGAGGAUUUCUCGAUUUCACAAUCUGUGGUUGUUCUUCUGGUUCCUCACUCGCUGCACUUGCUUUCUGUUUGAAAGCUUAGUCUGCAAUUGGAGAAUUCAAACAGGUCCACAUCCAGGUCUGACAGUCACUUUGUUUAUCACAACCCAGUGACCUCAGGAUUUUGAACAUUGAAGGAAAAAGCAGCAUUCACACUGGGGAGAAAUGCAUAUGGUCUGUAAAGAGUCUGUGAAGAUUCAUCUGAAAUGUCCGAACACCAGCGCAGUAACACUGGGGAGAGACUGUGGAAAUGUGCAGAUUGCAGGAACGAAUUUUUUAAUCCAUCCCAGCUAGAAACUGACCACCAGAGUCACACUGGAGAGAAACCAUUCACCUACUCUGAUUGUGUAAUGGGAUUCACUCAGUCCUCUAACCUGCUUAAACACCAGUGAGUUCGCACUGUCGAGAAACCAUUUACAUGCUUGAAAUGUGGGAAAGCGUUCACUCGGACAUAUCAACCGCUGAUGCACGAGCAAAUUCACACUGGAGAGAGACUGUUGGCCUGUUCUGCGUGAGGGAAAGGCUUUGCUGACUCAAAUUGCCCGCUGAUCCAACAGCUACUUCACUCUGGUGAGUGACCAUUCAUCUGCUCCCAGUGUGGGAAGGGAAUCACUUGCUCACCUAACAUACAGAGCGUUCACACUGGGGAGAAACCAUUCAUCUGCUCUAAAUGUGAGAAAGCAUUCACUUGGUCAUCCUACCUGCUUGUGUUCCAGCAGGUUCACACUGGGAGAACCCAUUCAUGAGCUCUGAGUGGGGGAAAGCAUUCACUCAGUUAUCCAAACUGUUAACACACCAGUGAGUUCACAAAGAAGCACAGUUGAAUGAUUUUGCUGUCACUCUCACUAUCAAGUGAACCAUGGCUUUGGGCUGUUUGUACUGAUGUUACUGAUCCCUGCUCAAUUAAAGGUACAGGUAUUGUGGAUAAAAUGUUAAUAUCAGUUCUGUAUCUGUCAGGUAGAGUUUGGAAAUAGUCAUGUUAUCACGACACAUUGACACAUUCUCACUGACUAAAGACGACCCGCCCACACAGUAUGUGAAAAGGGAUUUCCUGGUUCAUCAGGACUGGUUAACGAGCAGCAAAUUUUAGAGUAACUGUGAAGUUGACUUUUGAUUCUGCUGUUAGCUAUAUCCAAACCAUACUUUUUGGGCUUGCUUCUGUAGAUCAUAGAAUCCCUCCAGUCUGGAGGCAGACCAUUUAGCCCGUCAAGUUCACACUGAACUUACAAAGAGUGUCCUACCCAGACCCUGCCUGCGUGGGUUUCCUCCAGGUGCUCUAGUUUCUUCCCACAGUCCAAAAAUGUGCAAAUUAGGUAGAAUGACAAUGCUAAAUUGCCCAUAGUGUCUGGUGUGCGAAAUGCAGGGUAGGGUGUGAGACUGGGUGAGAUGCUGUUUGGAGGGUUGGUAAUGGACUGAAUGGCCAUCUUCCACACUGUAGGGAUUCUAUGUUGAUCUUAAAGGCCCUUUAUUUGUUGUGCCUGGUCAAUAUGUUUGCACACCUUUUACCAUUAUGGAUUCUAUUGCUCUCCACAGACAUGUUUCAACUACUAAUAGAUAUUUGCUUAUUGGAAACAAUCAAAGGAAAGUUUUAAAUCCAAACAAAAGAUUGGGAUGAGUCAUGUUCUGUAUCCCUGAUAGCCGAUUGCAAAAAUGCAAUGAAACCUGGUGACCUGUCCAUGGGGAAUGCAGUCUCUUCAGAUCUUUACCAGGUGUCCAGAGCAGUGACGGAUCUCGUGAUGAAUACAAAAACCAAGACAUUGUGUGAUAUCUAGUGUAUACUUUCUAUUUAGUCUGCUGUCCAUUACUCCACAUGUCAAGUUUGUUUUCAGAGACCCUCACGGACUUGCUGCAAUCACAAGACACUGACCUGUUUGGAAAAAACACAAAUCCUUUUAUUACCAAACAAGUACAAGCUGUGGAGAAUCACUGUACUGAAUCCGGCACAGAGAGCAGAGUCUCGCCAGUAAUUCUCCCCGAGCAGCAGACAGUGCCCGCUUUUUAUAGUUUACAAAAGACAUGACGCAUAAAACGAUUUCACAACUUACAGUGGCAUGAUACAUGAAACAAUUACUGCAACAGACAAAAAUAGGAUACCAAGCAAUUAUUACAUCAAGAACAUAAAAGACCAGCUUAUAGUAUCGAUUGCUAGUGAAGUAGCUGCUAAUGGCAGGAGGCGAUUUUGAGUUGUUGUCCAGGACAGAUUGUGAUUUUAAGUUGCCAGUGUGUCUGACUAGAACAAAGUCAGUGCCCUGACCCCUUUGUCAGCGACAGGAGUUACAUGCUUUAGAGGUUUCACACCUUUACAAAUAUUCCCCACCUUCCCCUGUUUGAAACAGUGUGAUUCUAAUUUAAAUUCAGUCAGGAAGUUUAAGACAGUGUCUGCAUACUGAUGUGUGAGAAGAAAAGGAGUUAAAAAAGUGUUACACUGAAUUCCUAGCUGGACCGUAAGCUUCAGGGUAGUGCCUGCAUAUCUAUGUGAAGGUAGAUAAGAGUUUACUUGUAUAAAUUAAAGUCUUUUAUCUACAUUUGAUUCCUAUACAGAGACUUUAAUUUAUAGAAGUAUAUAAAUCAAUGGGAUGUCAUCACAUUAACAUCUCACACAGAGACUGAGAUAUGGUCUAGUGACCUAGAUUGGAAUCACACCAUUCCAGAUGGUGGAAUUUGAGUUUUUUAAAAAUCUGGAAAUAAGAAUCUAAUGAUGACCGUGAAUCUAUUGUCAGUUGGAAAAACCCAUCUGUUCACCUAUGUUCUUUAGGGAAGGAAACUUCCAUUCUUAUCCAGUGAUAUCAAGAUUCCAUGAAUGAUAUUUUUUAAAAGUUAAUUUAAAAAAAACCUCCUGCAAAUACAUUUAUCUCUGUCUUAAUUUAUUUAGCAACCGACAGUUCAAACUGGCUGAUGGUCACUUUCACUUCUAAUCAAGUUGUGACCGUUUCAUGGUUGAAACAAAAAAAAAUGCAUGAAUGGAACCACAGUUGUACUCGUAGGAACAAUGCAUGCUCUGACAUGUUUGGGAAAAAAAUACCUCAUCUCACUUAUGAGCCAGAUAUCAAAGCUGACCAGAUCCUGAUGCAGUGUACCAUGAAAGUGAAAUUCUUCACCAUCUUAUCUACUUGUGUUGCUAUUUCAGGGAGCGAUGGACUUGAACCUCGCAAACUCCUGAACACCUCUUAAGAAUUUCAUCAAACUGACCCCCAGUGGCAGGAAUGGACAGGGUCAGCUUGGAUUGAUGAUCAUAAUUCAGGCUCAACAAGUCUACUGGAACAUUUUGAGAAUGUAAUUAGUGGUGAGUGUGGCCACCUCUCUGUACUGUAGUGAUACAGAUUCCCAGAUCCUGAUUAUCCCCAAAUGGCUGACUGACAGUGUCAAAGUCCCUGGGCUGAUAUUGAAUGAUUCCUUGGCCAUUUUGUGUCAGGAUCUCCUGACUGAAUACUAUCUCCCUUGCCUUGACUGAGAACUGUUUCCCUGAGACUUUGCGAUGUGACCAUUUGGUCGAAACACAUGUGUUUGUUGCCACAGCUGCUGACCAGCCCUUGGCUGACUGCUGGUAAUAACAGUGCUAAGCUGCCUGGCUUAUGCCUGCAAUAAACAACCAGGCAAGACAGGAGCACUGAGACAUUAAGUUCUAGUUGAGACGUCAAAGUGCAAAAAUGCCAAGGAAGGGCAGAGAUAUUGCGGCAUAACUUGUGUCAGGUGCUGAAAAGCUUGUAGAGUUCUUAGAGCAAGAAUGUACUAUGUGGACAGGCAAUUCUGCAUCUUGAUGUAGCAUUUUUAUUUAACUCUGGCUCAUUUCGCUAGAUUUGCAAAUAUCUCUUGGUCUGGCUAAUGUGAGAAUUGGCUUUCGGAGUAAUGUGCCACCGACUGUCAUUCACAGUUGUAUCCCACAUCAGUGAAUUGGUAAUCUGAUUAAGCGCUCAGGCCUUGGCUUGAGAAAAAUAAAGCAGACACAUGCACACUUGUUUGAUUAGUUGCUCUGCACUCAAAUGAAAAACGUGCAUUGUAUAUGCCAUAUCCUUUCCUGGCUCAGUGUUUCCAAAAUCUCUAGUUCAAUACAUCCCAAGUUGUCAUCAUCAGAGUCAAAACUAGUGAAUACUUUGAUAGCUUCAUCUUUUUUUUUCUGAAAUGCUAUUUAUAUUGAGGCAGUGUUGGCAGGUGAUUUUCUUUUACUUCUGAUGCCAUGUGUGGAUAUUUGGGGAUGGUGUUGGUGGGAAGGUGCGGUAUUACCAGGGAUGAGGCACUGACAUUCAAAACAAGUGCUGAACAUGCAGAAAAGGACAGAUUAACAAUUACCUUGGAACAAGCAUAUUUGGAGAAAGUUGGGUGAGAGUACUGAGAGGAAAGCACUUUGGCAGCAUAGUGGCUCAGUAUUUAGCACUGCUGCCUCACAGCACCAGGACCUGUGUUCGAUUCCAGCCUUGGGCGACUGCCUGUGUGGAGUUUGCACAUUCUCCAUGUGUCUGUGUGGGUUUCCUCAGAGUGCUCCCACAGUCCAAAGAUGUGCAGACUAGGUUGAUUGGCCAUGUUAAAUUGCCUGUAAUGUUUAGGGAGGGGUAGAUUAGGUCUGGCUGGGAUGCUCUGAGGUUUGGUGUGGACUUGUGGGGCCGAAGGGCCUGUUGAGCAGAUGCUGGAGAAUCUGAGAUAACAAGGUGUAGAACUGGAUGAACACAGCAGGAAGGCUGACAUCUCAGGCCUGGACCCUUCCUCAAGUUUUGCACAGGCUGUUUUUAGAAUUGGUUUAAUGAGACUACACCAGUCCUGGAAACACAGCAAUACCUGGAUGAUGCACAGAGUGGAUGGAGCAAGGACCUACUCCUUAAUCCAAAAAUCAGUUUAACAUAGGGUCUUUAAAAAAAAAGACAUAUCAGAUAUUAAAACUGACGUCAACCAAGUAGGCCAAAAAGCAAUGCCGUUAUAGUGCUGGACUACCUUAAGUCCCAGUUACCUUCUGCUGUCAGUUUUUACUGUUCACAAACUCCUGGGCUUCCUAACUGGGAAAAACAAUAAGUUUAUACCAGCACUUUUUCAUCACCUUUUCUGUAAAACUCACUUCGUAGCGAAUGUAGAUCAUCGGAAAUGUACCAAUCGAAUGAGGUAGGGCAGAGCUGACAUCACUAACAAGCCUCAUCAACCAUUUCCGCGACUGCUGGAGGGCUAGUGAGAUUGCAGCCACAAUUGGUACAGAACCGCACACUCAGAGAAUGUCCCAACACAGAGGAAGGUGCUUCAGACUGUCAUUGUCUGCAUCAGAGAUAAUGUGAACUGCAGAUGCUAGAGAAUCCAAGAUAACAAAGCGUGAAGCUGGAUGAACACAGUACGCCAAGCAGCAUCCCAGGAGCGCAAAAGUUGACGUUGCA